UCAAAGGUUUUAUUAAAGACCAAAGCAAAGAUCAUGUUAAAAGUCAU
Molecule: non-coding RNA, 47 nt
Organism: Picea glauca (white spruce)
Lineage: Eukaryota; Viridiplantae; Streptophyta; Pinopsida; Pinales; Pinaceae
Source: Rfam